UUCCAGACUCCUACGGGAGGCAGCAGUGAGGAAUAUUGGUCAAUGGGCGGGAGCCUGAACCAGCCAUGCCGCGUGAAGGCGAGUGCCCUACGGGCGUUAAACUUCUUUUGUGCGGGAGCAAUAAGGGCCACGCGUGGCCCGAUGAGAGUACCGCACGAAUAAGCACCGGCUAACUCCGUGCCAGCAGCCGCGGUAAUACGGAGGGUGCGAGCGUUAAUCGGAAUUACUGGGCGUAAAGCGCUCGUAGGCGGUAUGUCAAGUCAAGGGUGAAAUCCCCGCGCUCAACGUGGGAACUGCCUUUGAAACUGGCAAACUGGAGUGUGUGAGAGGAUAGUGGAAUUCCAGGUGUAGGAGUGAAAUCCGUAGAUAUCUGGAGGAACAUCAGUGGCGAAGGCGACUAUCUGGCACAUAACUGACGCUGAGGAGCGAAAGCGUGGGUAGCAAACAGGAUUAGAUACCCCUGUAG
RNAcentral lists this ribosomal RNA (466 nucleotides) under uncultured bacterium. RNAcentral describes it as "bacterial SSU rRNA". It matches the Rfam family "Bacterial small subunit ribosomal RNA", at positions 329 to 793 of the family's 1533-position model. The record is from RNAcentral.